This is a non-coding RNA of Zootoca vivipara (common lizard), 6805 nucleotides long. NCBI's taxonomy places the organism in Eukaryota, Metazoa, Chordata, Lepidosauria, Squamata, Lacertidae. The record is from RefSeq and is a predicted model, not a curated record.
AUAGCGAUAGCAAGAACAUAUUUUUUUUAAAUAGCCAGGUAAUUUGAUUUUAUUUGUUCUGAUCAAUAUGGAACUGGGCAGGCAUGACAACAUUUUCGAUAUCCUAACCGGAGGGAAGAGAUUGAAAGCUUGCCGAACCCUUCCUUUCCCUUUUGUGGGCAAAUCUCCCCCUUUGUUCACACCUACAGCACAAUGUUACUGUCGGCCAGCAUUUACUCUAAUCAGGAUCUCCCUUAACACUCAGAAUUUGUAACUGGGGUUGCAAACUGUUUUAACGGGGCAACUCAUGGAACAUUUAUUUACUGUUUUAUUAUGUUUCCUAUAUAUAUGUUGGAAGCCUCCCCGAGUGGCUGAGGCAGCCCUGUCAGAUGGGCAGGGUACAAUUUAUAAAAUUAUUAUUAUUAUAAGAUGGCUACAUCAUUCCAGUCAGAUUUCCGUUUUCCAUAGUGUUUUCCCCUAACAUAAUUUCACAAUGUAUGGUUGCAUAGAUUUUGUUUAAACAAGCAAAAGCUCUAGAGAACUCAAGAUUUAAACAAAAAUUGACACAUUGCCUAGGUCAGGCAUGCUCAAAGUCCAUUUUGGGGGCCUAAUUCAGCCCCCUGGCCUUUUUCAUCUGGCCCCUGUGGGCACCCCUGGCCUAGGUCAUCUUAUUUUUAUUGGGAUUAAAUCCAAAAAAAGCUCAACAACUUCAAUCCUUAAAAAAAGCUCAACAACUUUGGCUGGCCUUCACGCAUGUUCACUUCAUCAAACCUGGCCCUCUUUGAAAGAAGUUUGGGCACCCUUGGCCUAGGUCAGGCAUCCCCAAACUUCGGCCCUCCAGAUGUUUUGGACUACAAUUCCCAUCUUCCCCGACCACUGGUCCUGUUUGCUAGGGAUCAUGGGAGUUGUAGGCCAAAACAUCUGGAGGGCCGCAGUUUGGGGAUGCCUGGCCUAGGUCAUCUUAUUUUAUCUCUUGCUUUCUUCUUACUCUUGCAAAAAAAAACCCCACAAACCUCCACUGCAAUCUUUCCCUUUAACGGACUAAACUUUUGUUCUUUAUUUAUGACAUUGAUUGUCUGUUGCUGUACACCUCUAUUGAACCUACUGCACGGAACUGUACUAAAAGCUGGUAGUCUUUAAAUUAAUAAAAUUGUGCUCUAAUGAAUUGUAAAAAAAGAAAAGAAAAAGAUGGCUACCUCAAUGGCUUAGAUCAGAAGUAGCAUGCCGCUGAGUCCCAGUUGCUGAGGAACGACAGUGGGAGAGAGCUAUUGCCUUCAUAUCCUGCUUAUCAUUUUUGCAGAGGCUCACUGUGGGAUGCUGAAUGCUGGACUGGAGAGCAGAGCCUUUGCUACUUUGCCCAUUGCACAGGCACAGUUAGAAGAUUGAGGACAUUAUGUCUGCAAAGGUCCUAGGCAGCAUUUGGUCGUAGUGUGUCCUUGAUCGCCUUGUGCCUGCCCACCCCCUCCUGCCCACCCCCUGCCAAAAGCCCCUCUUGUUCCGGGCAUUACUUUUGUUUCCCUUCUGUGCUGACCUACAUUUCAAUUUUCUAAAAACCAGUAAAACAUGGUGUUAUGUACUGAGCUGAAUCCUAGAACAAUAGGAUUCAGAAUCAGCGGGAGCUACCCAAUCCAACUCCAGGUGGAAGUGAAUCCGCAACCUGAUUGGCCUGCUGGAGCAGCCAAUCAGGCGGCUGGCAGAAGUGAAUCUGCUACCUGAUUGGCCUGUAGGAGCAGCCAAUCAGGCUGCAGGCAGAAGUCAAUCCACAAUAUAAUUGGCCCACAGGUGUAGCCCUGAAGUAGCCAAUCACGCAAGGCCCAUUGUGUAAAUAAUGUAUAUAAGCAGAUGGUUUUGGGGAAAGAGCGAUUCGUCUUCUCUUCUCCUCCUUGAUGACUAUGAGCUGAAUAAAGAGCAUGAAAUUCACUCUCGACUCCGAGUAUAUUUCACUGGCGACGAAGGUGGGAUCCUGCUGAGCUGACCGCCACCACGCACUGCACCGCAGCACCGCCACCUGCUGCACCGCUGCAUCGCACCGUGCAUCCAGGCUUCAGCUCCAGGACCCAAGGAACCCAGAAUGGCAACCGACAGCAGCUUCUCGCCAUUCAAACCAGCAUCAGGAGACUGGGAAGGGUACGCCGCCCGUUUCAACUUCCUCCUGCAAGCGAAAGAAGUCACCAACGAUGCCAUGAAGAGGGCGACAUUCUUCAGCGUCUGUGGAGAGGAGACGUUUGAAAUCGCCCGGGCUCUCCUUGCACCUAGAGAUGUCGCUAUCGUCUCUUACAAAACAAUAAUGGAACGGCUGAAGGAGCACUUCUCACCACAGCCCUCGGUGGUAGCUUGCCGAAAUGCCUUCUACGCAAAGCGGCAAGCCCCGGGGGAAACCAUAACUGGGUUUGUGACCUCCCUCCGCCAAGCCGCCCGGUUAUGCAACUUCUCAGAAUUGGAGAACAUGCUUCGUGACCGCCUCGUCGGUGGCCUGAGGGACGAGAUGUUGCAACGACGCCUCUACGCCAAAAAAGACCUCACGUUCCAGAUUGCUCUGGAGGAAGCCCUGGCAACCGAAGCCGCCGAGAGGUCAACGCAAGAGGCACGACCGGCCCCGCCAUCCCAACCGAGGGUCUACCACGAAGACCUCACCGACGAAUCCGAAUCUGACAGGGAGGAAGUACACCGAGUACAGCGGCGCACUCAAGCAGCACACACACCACAGCAGCCUCGACGAGAAGGAGGGAACUGUGCAAGCUGCGGGGAGAACCACGAGAGGAGGACCUGUCGUUUCCGCAACGCAGAGUGCAGGCAGUGCAGAAAAUUGGGACACAUCGCCCGGGUGUGUCGGGCUCGACUCACCCGUCGACAAGCAUCAGAUGACCGACCCAGGAGCCCCAGGUCACACGGCACCAUGCACCAAGGCAACUCGACGGAGAUCACGGACUACCAGGUAUUCCAGUUGCCCCAUCCCAGCACAGAGAAAAUUUAUAUAGAGGUACAGAUAGAGGGAGCCCCAUGCCGCAUGGAGCUGGACACGGGUUCAACUCUAUCCAUAAUCUCGGCCCGAACAUUAAGGGAACUGUGCCCUAAUGGGGGUCCCAAACUAAGGCCGGCCCCAUUCACCCUCCGGGACUUCCAGAAACGUAAGGUCCCUACUAUGGGGGUGGGGACCUUCAGGGUGCAAUAUCGAGGGCGAAAGCAACAAUUGGACUUGCUGGUAGUUAAGGGCCCCUACGUUAGCUUACUGGGACUGGCAUGGUUUGGACCUCUGGGGCUAGCCGUUACCGGGGUGAACCGCACUAGCUUACAAGUGGACGUGGACGCCAUAUGCAAAGAGUUUCCAGGGGUUUUCGAUGGGGCAUUGGGACGAUAUACAGGACCCCCCAUUGCCCUACAGCUAGACCCCGCUGUACGACCCAUCAGACACAAGGCCCGCCGGGUCCCGUUCGCCCUGAAACCCCGCAUAGACGAGGAAUUGGACCGGCUCGUGGAGCAAGGAGUGCUGGAGCCGGUGCCCAACGCCCCCUGGGAAACUCCAAUUGUCACACCCGUCAAGCCUAACGGUUCGGUCCGCAUCUGUGCAGACUACAAAUGCACCAUAAACAAGGCUCUCACGGCCCAUGCAUACCCAGUGCCAGUGGUCAGCCAUGUCCUCGCCACCCUGGCUGGGUCGAAAAUCUUUGGCAAACUGGACUUGGCCCAAGCGUAUCAACAGUUGCCUGUGGACGAAGCCACAGCAGAGGCUCAGACGAUUGUGACGCACAGAGGGGCAUUCAGAGUAAAGCGGCUGCAAUUUGGCGUUAGCGUGGCACCAGGCAUAUUCCAGAAUCUAAUGGACUCUCUCCUCAAAGGGAUUCCUGGCGUCACCCCCUUCUUCGAUGAUGUACUGAUCGCCGGGCCCACACCAGAGGAAUUUGAGGACCGCCUCCGCUCCGUCCUGCACCGUUUCCAGACGGCGGGCCUCAAGGUGAAGCGGGAAAAGUGUUUACUGGGAGUGCCGCAGGUGGACUUUCUGGGAUUCAAGGUGGACGCAGAAGGGGUCCAUCCAACCGGUGACAAGGUACGGGCCAUUUGUGAGGCCCCAGCGCCCAAGAGCAAGCCCGAACUUCAGUCAUUCUUGGGACUAUUGAACUUUUACCAUGCCUUCCUUCCACAUAAGGCAGCGGUAGCGGAGCCCCUACACAGACUCCUAGAUAAAAGGGCCCCUUGGGUGUGGGGCCAGCGACAAAGGGCCGCAUUCCAGGCAGUCAAGGACUUGCUCGUCUCGAACUCGGUCUUAGCACACUUCGACGAGAGGCUGCCAGUGGUGCUGGCAUGCGACGCCUCUCCCUAUGGCAUCGGCGCUGUCCUGGGACACCAACUCCCGGAUGGAAGAGAGGUGCCGGUGGCAUACUUCUCCCAGACGCUUGCUGCAGCCGAACGAAACUACUCACAGAUUGACAAGGAGGGUCUGGCAAUUGUGAAGGGCGUAAAAAAAUUCCAUGAUUUCUUGUACGGGCGGCCCUUUACCAUAGUGACUGACCACAAGCCGUUGCUUGGCCUGUUUGCCCCUGAGAAGCAGACCCCCCAAGUGUUGUCUCCACGUGUCCUCAGGUGGUCAAUUUUCCUUGCCGGCUACCAGUAUGCACUAAUCCACCGCCCUGGGAAGGCGAUGGGCCACGCAGACGCCCUCAGCAGGCUACCACUACCAGAAACAGGCCCCGACCCAGCGCCUGCACAAGAGGUUAUGACCCUGGAGCUGCUUCCCGACCGACCCAUUCAGGCACAAGAAGUUGCGCACCAUUCCACAAAAGAUAGGGUCAUCUCCCGGGUCCUGGACUGGGUGUGGCGAGGAUGGCCCAGCAGCAGCCCCGGGCCAGAAUUCGCUGGCUACACAAACCACAAACAUGAACUGUCGGCCCACAAGGGGUGCCUGUUAUGGGGAAGCAGGGUUGUUGUUCCCCAGCCCCUCCGCAAAAGGGUCCUCACAGCCCUACACGAGACACACCCAGGGGUAGUGAGGAUGAAGGCCCUUGCCAGGAGUUAUGUGUGGUGGCCGGGGAUUGACAGAGAGAUAGAGGCCUGGGUCCAACACUGCCAGACCUGCCAAGAAUCCCGCCCGGAUCCCCCAAGGGCCCCAGUCCAGCCCUGGGAGUCCGCCCGACAUCCAUGGUCACGCUUGCACAUGGACUUCGCUGGCCCCUUCCAGGGAAAAACAUUCUUCAUAGUGGUGGAUUCCUACACCAAAUGGCUGGAGGUCGCACUGGUACCAUCCACUUCUACGGCGGCAGCCAUCAGGGUACUACGUAAGCUGUUUGCGACCCACGGGCUCCCUGACACCCUCGUCUCGGACAAUGGAACCGCAUUCACGUCAGAGGAGUUCCAGACCUUCACAGCGCAGAACGCCAUCCGCCACAUCCGCUCAGCACCAUUCCACCCUGCCACCAAUGGCCAAGCGGAGCGCAUGGUGCGGACCACCAAGGACAGCCUCCGCCGCAUGACACAAGGGGACUGGGAAUACCGCCUUGCCACAUUUCUUCUAGCACAGCACAGCACCCCAAGCACAACGACGGGCCGGAGCCCAGCUGAAUUACUAAUGGGCCGGCGCCUUGCAACUAGACUGGACCGACUUCACCCCGACAGAGCUCAGGAUGAGGUAGUGGUGGGGAAAGGCAGGAACCCCCAGACAUUUGUGGCCCAGGACCCAGUGUAUGCAAAGAAUUUUGGGGCAGGCCCAGCAUGGGUACCCGCCACAGUCACCAAGGUGACCGGUCCCGUGUCGUACGAGGUACUAACGGAAGGGGGGCAAUGUUGGCGCCGCCACUGCGACCAGCUACGGCGACGAUUCCCAGGAGGAACCCGGGAGGAGAGCGGGACAGAGGGGUCCCAAGGGGACAGCAGGGCAGUGAGGCCUGUAGAGCGAGAGGGGUGGGCAGGGGAAGCAGAAGCAGUAGGCACAGAGGGGCGCCCCGAGGCUGGAAGGACACCGGAACCAGAGCUACAACCUAGUGGUUCAGUGGCGCCAGACCAGACAGCCCCGGCACAGCCAGCAGCCUCGGAACACGAGCCAGAACCAGAACCCCUGACCAAGGAACACCCCAGGCCACAACGCACACGGAGGCGGCCAGCAGACCUUGGGGACUACGAAUGCAACUUCCCGGGCAGAACUGGAACUUAGAGGGGAGGGGUGUUAUGUACUGAGCUGAAUCCUAGAACAAUAGGAUUCAGAAUCAGCGGGAGCUACCCAAUCCAACUCCAGGUGGAAGUGAAUCCGCAACCUGAUUGGCCUGCUGGAGCAGCCAAUCAGGCGGCUGGCAGAAGUGAAUCUGCUACCUGAUUGGCCUGUAGGAGCAGCCAAUCAGGCUGCAGGCAGAAGUCAAUCCACAAUAUAAUUGGCCCACAGGUGUAGCCCUGAAGUAGCCAAUCACGCAAGGCCCAUUGUGUAAAUAAUGUAUAUAAGCAGAUGGUUUUGGGGAAAGAGCGAUUCGUCUUCUCUUCUCCUCCUUGAUGACUAUGAGCUGAAUAAAGAGCAUGAAAUUCACUCUCGACUCCGAGUAUAUUUCACAUGGACAGUAUUAUUUCGAAGGACCUAAAGUCUGCAGCAAGUUUUAAAGGACCUCACACUUUGUUUGUAUCAAAACAGAUUUUUCCACUUUGCAAUUUUAUAGCACUUUGCUUCGCAGCCUUAAACUGUGCACAUUUUUCUUUGCAGGCAGACAUAGCACCGCUGAUGGCUUCUCUUAUCGGAGUCCCUUUCCCUCUGAACUCUGUGGGGAGUCUACCUCUGGAGUACCUGAACAACACUGCUCAUUUUAAAGCAGAGAGUAUGUUUACGAAUGCUGCUCAGAUUCUUGAACAAUUU